RNAcentral lists this ribosomal RNA (254 nucleotides) under uncultured bacterium. RNAcentral's name for it is "partial 16S ribosomal RNA". It matches the Rfam family "Bacterial small subunit ribosomal RNA", at positions 524 to 776 of the family's 1533-position model. The record is from RNAcentral.
CACGUAGGGUGCGAGCGUUGUCCGGAAUUAUUGGGCGUAAAGAGCUCGUAGGCGGUGUGUCGCGUCGGCCGUGAAAACCUGCAGCUUAACUGUGGGCGUGCGGUCGAUACGGGCAUCACUGGAGUUCGGCAGGGGAGACUGGAAUUCCUGGUGUAGCGGUGAAAUGCGCAGAUAUCAGGAGGAACACCGGUGGCGAAGGCGGGUCUCUGGGCCGAUACUGACGCUGAGGAGCGAAAGCGUGGGGAGCGAGCAGG